UGCCUGCGGUCAAGGAAAAAAGAAGGCGGUC
RNAcentral lists this non-coding RNA (31 nucleotides) under Homo sapiens (human). The record is from RNAcentral. Lineage: Eukaryota; Metazoa; Chordata; Mammalia; Primates; Hominidae.